RNAcentral lists this ribosomal RNA (2660 nucleotides) under Paraburkholderia sp. LEh10. RNAcentral describes it as "23S ribosomal RNA". It matches the Rfam family "Bacterial large subunit ribosomal RNA". The record is from RNAcentral. Lineage: Bacteria; Pseudomonadati; Pseudomonadota; Betaproteobacteria; Burkholderiales; Burkholderiaceae.
AAUUGAGCCAGUCAGCGAAUGAUUUAAAGCAUAGCGCUUUAUAUCGGCUGUCGUUCUUUAACAAUCAGGAAGAAGUAGUAAAGAGAUUUAUCUGAAAGCACUUAGAGAUGGGUGUGAGUAGGUGAAUCAGGGUUGUGAUUGUAUCGAAUGUAUUUUUGAGUUCAUCGAAAGACGAACCUGGAAUACGGCACAACGCGAAAACUCAGCCUGUAGCGGAUGUUAUCNNNNNNNNNNNNNNNNNNNNNNNNNNNNNNNNNNNNNNNNNNNNNNNNNNNNNNNNNNNNNNNNNNNNNNNNNNNNNNNNNNNNNNNNNNNNNNNNNNNNGGGGUGACGGCGUACCUUUUGUAUAAUGGGUCAGCGACUUACAUUCAGUGGCGAGCUUAACCGAUUAGGGCAGGCGUAGCGAAAGCGAGUCCGAACAGGGCGAUUCAGUCGCUGGGUGUAGACCCGAAACCAGGUGAUCUAUCCAUGGCCAGGUUGAAGGCACGGUAACACGUGCUGGAGGACCGAACCCACUGACGUUGAAAAGUCAGGGGAUGAGCUGUGGAUAGGGGUGAAAGGCUAAACAAACCUGGAAAUAGCUGGUUCUCUCCGAAAACUAUUUAGGUAGUGCCUCGUGUAUCACCUUCGGGGGUAGAGCACUGUCAUGGUUGAGGGGUCCAUUGCGGAUUACCUCGCCAUAGCAAACUCCGAAUACCGAAGAGUGCAAUCACGGGAGACAGACAUCGGGUGCUAACGUCCGGUGUCAAGAGGGAAACAACCCAGACCGCCAGCUAAGGUCCCCAAAUAUGGCUAAGUGGGAAACGAAGUGGGAAGGCUAAAACAGUCAGGAGGUUGGCUUAGAAGCAGCCACCCUUUAAAGAAAGCGUAAUAGCUCACUGAUCGAGUCGUCCUGCGCGGAAGAUGUAACGGGGCUAAGCCAUAUACCGAAGCUGCGGAUGCAUAUUUAUAUGCAUGGUAGGAGAGCGUUCCGUAAGCCUGCGAAGGUGCACUGGAAAGUGUGCUGGAGGUAUCGGAAGUGCGAAUGCUGACAUGAGUAGCGAUAAAGGGGGUGAAAGGCCCCCUCGCCGUAAGCCCAAGGUUUCCUACGCAACGUUCAUCGGCGUAGGGUGAGUCGGCCCCUAAGGCGAGGCAGAAAUGCGUAGCUGAUGGGAAACAGGUCAAUAUUCCUGUACCAGUGUGAAAUGCGAUGGGGGGACGGAUCGCGGAAGGUUGUCCGGGUGUUGGAAGUCCCGGUCGCUGCGUUGGAGAAGGUGCUCUGGCAAAUCCGGGCACGGGAUUCAAGGGCGUGGCGCGAGCUCCUCAGGGAGCGAAGCAAUCGGAAGGGGUUCCAGGAAAAGCCUCUAAGCUUCAGUUUCACAUUGACCGUACCGCAAACCGACACAGGUGGGCGAGAUGAGUAUUCUAAGGCGCUUGAGAGAACUCGGGAGAAGGAACUCGGCAAAUUGGUACCGUAACUUCGGGAUAAGGUACGCCCCUGUAGCUUGACUGGCCUGCGCCAGGAGGGUGAAGGGGUUGCAAUAAACUGGUGGCUGCGACUGUUUAAUAAAAACACAGCACUCUGCAAACACGAAAGUGGACGUAUAGGGUGUGACGCCUGCCCGGUGCCGGAAGAUUAAAUGAUGGGGUGCAAGCUCUUGAUUGAAGUCCCGGUAAACGGCGGCCGUAACUAUAACGGUCCUAAGGUAGCGAAAUUCCUUGUCGGGUAAGUUCCGACCUGCACGAAUGGCGUAACGAUGGCCACACUGUCUCCUCCCGAGACUCAGCGAAGUUGAAGUGUUUGUGAUGAUGCAAUCUCCCCGCGGCUAGACGGAAAGACCCCAUGAACCUUUACUGUAGCUUUGCAUUGGACUUUGAACCGGUCUGUGUAGGAUAGGUGGGAGGCUGUGAAGCGUGGACGCCAGUCUGCGUGGAGCCGUCCUUGAAAUACCACCCUGGUUUGUUUGAGGUUCUAACCUUGGCCCGUGAUCCGGGUCGGGGACAGUGCAUGGUGGGCAGUUUGACUGGGGCGGUCUCCUCCCAAAGUGUAACGGAGGAGUACGAAGGUACGCUAGGUACGGUCGGAAAUCGUGCUGAUAGUGCAAUGGCAUAAGCGUGCUUAACUGCGAGACCGACAAGUCGAGCAGGUGCGAAAGCAGGUCAUAGUGAUCCGGUGGUUCUGUAUGGAAGGGCCAUCGCUCAACGGAUAAAAGGUACUCUGGGGAUAACAGGCUGAUACCGCCCAAGAGUUCAUAUCGACGGCGGUGUUUGGCACCUCGAUGUCGGCUCAUCUCAUCCUGGGGCUGUAGCCGGUCCCAAGGGUAUGGCUGUUCGCCAUUUAAAGAGGUACGUGAGCUGGGUUUAAAACGUCGUGAGACAGUUUGGUCCCUAUCUGCCGUGGGCGCUGGAUAUUUGAAGGGGGCUGCUCCUAGUACGAGAGGACCGGAGUGGACGAACCUCUGGUGUACCGGUUGUCACGCCAGUGGCAUCGCCGGGUAGCUAUGUUCGGAAGAGAUAACCGCUGAAAGCAUCUAAGCGGGAAACUCGCCUUGAGAUGAGAUAUCCCCGGGGCUUCGAGCCCCUUGAAGGGUCGUUCAAGACCAGGACGUUGAUAGGUCAGGUGUGCACGCGCAGUAAUGCGCUCAGCUAACUGAUACUAAUUGCCCGUAAGGCUUGAUCCU